Aegilops tauschii subsp. strangulata is the source of this 1964-nucleotide non-coding RNA. NCBI's taxonomy places the organism in Eukaryota, Viridiplantae, Streptophyta, Magnoliopsida, Poales, Poaceae. The record is from RefSeq and is a predicted model, not a curated record.
ACAGGUGCCACGACCAAAUCCAAAUCCCCCAAACCUAAAUCCUCUCACGCACUCCCUCCGCCGCCGCCCGCUAGCUAGCAGCCCGCACGCCGCUGACCACCCGCCGUCUCCAGCACGCCCUCACCUGUCUCCUUCAUCCUCCUGCACUCCCACUGCUUAGGCCCCGGACACUUCUAACCCUAGCUUGUGCGCUGGAGUUUGGGGAGAGGCCAAGGCGCGGUGGUGGACGCCGCCAUCCCUCUCAGAUCCGAGGCUGAGAGAGGGAGGGAGGGAGAGGUGGCUCACCUGCAAGAGAGAGCACUCACACCCUCGCUUGUCAGUCGUCACCCAGGGGCCGCCACCACCGCUGCCACGCCAUGGGCUUCCUCCAAUCUGCGCUCGCCGGUUCAUUUGAAGAAGGAUCUGGCCGUUGACUACUGGUGCUUCCCCUCCCCGGGCGAUCAGCCAUGACUUGGGAUAGUACUUCUAUCCAGCAAGCGGCGUUUUGGAUGUGAGCUCCAGCUCAAGCAGAGCAUCAAAGACAGGGGCUCUAUCUGCUAAUGGGGUAGCCGGCAAUGCAGUCUAAGAGAUACAUCUCGUGUGAUUUCUGGAUAUGAGAACUUGAGAAGAACAAGCUUGAUGCUAUUAUUGAAAAAAAAAUCUAUGCUACAGGAUUCUUCUUUGCAUCUGUCGGAUGUGGGGUUCCGGCAAACACUUGAGGUGGUGACAGUCUGAUGCCUUCAGAAUUGGCUCUCGGAACUUUCAACCAAGAUUAGAGCUAGCAUACAGUUUGCAGUUUAUAGUCGUACCCAUACUCAAUGAGUCCCUACCUCGGCUUCUGGGCAAGAUAUUCUUUAAUUUUAGUUGAUUAGCAACCAGUAUUGUUCAGGAAUUUUGAGUGGCACACAUCCUGGUCUGGCGAGCCGAUGACCGGACAUCAUUUGUCAAGAAUGGAGAGCCAGAGGAGUUCCCAGUUUGAUGUUAAGUACUAUGAAAGCAAGAUGACCCAGUUGUUGUGAGUCACUUCUCUACCAAUUUUGUUAUAUAAGGUUAUUCUUUCUUAUUCUAUGAUACCAUCUUUUGUAUAUUGAUUGCAAUAUGUAGGACCAAACUGAUACUGAGGAGUUUGUCACUUCAUAUGCUUGAAAUGCAUGAGUAUUGCUGACAUGAAAUUCCAAGAGAACCUUGAAAUGCAUGAGUACAUUAUUUCAAAAUUGUAUCCAUAUGGUCAUCAAUAACAGUUUUGCCAGUUUGCAUUGUUUGAUACAUAAGAAAUUCAAAGUCGAACCCAAUGAAAUAUUGCUAACUUUCAGUCAAAUCUAUGAAUGUUGAUAAGCUAUGUGAUUUAUUUAUGCUUGGUGACUCAUAGUGAGAUAUACUUCUUCUGACUUUUGAGUUUACCUUCACAUUUAUCAUGCUAAUAGGAAAAUGCUACUGAAAGUGGAAUAAGGCACUCACGUUAAUAUCUUUGUUUCCCCAUUUCCUUGAAUUACUAAGUUUCUCCAAUAUCAUCUUUAGACAACCAUUUCCUUGAUCAUACAUUAUUAAGAGUCCCCAAGUUGCUAUUUCAAAUAUUGUUUCUAUUUUUGGAGCAUUUGAUUCAAGAGUAUUGCUCGCUUGGACAUCGACAAGAGAUUUAGUACAGAUACAACAUGAUGACACUGAGAAUGCCAUCAGGGCAUACCAUUUUAUAACCAAAGAUAUGCUUACUCAUGUUUCACCAAUUCAUUUAAAUGUUGGACAUUUUUUCUUAUUGUUGUUUCAUUCUUCAUGACGCAGUUAAACAAUUGUUCCCUUAUCUGCAUGAACGAUGCUAACAUUCAGGAAAUAUAUGAUACUAAGAAAUGCGAUGUCAUGAUCAACUAUGUAUAAAUUUCUGUUAACAACAUUCAUGAUGGUUGGAGCUAUAUUUUGAGGAAUACACAGCUAAUCUAAUGGGAUUAAUCUUAUGUAACGUGUUUUCAAUUGUGAGAUUGUGCAUUGUA